GUCUUUAAGAAAUUAAUUUAAAGUCUAAUCUGCCCAAUGAAUUUAUUUAAAUGGCUGAAGGAUUUAACUGUACUAAGGUAGCAUAAUAAUUUGUUUUUUAAUUAAAAACUAGAAUGAAAGAUUGAAUGAAAUACAAACUUUUUUAAUUAAAUUUUAUUGGGGUAAUAAAAAAAAUAAAAUAAUUUUUUUUUUAAAUAUAUUUUAAAUAAAUAAUUUAUCUUAAAAUUUAAAUUAAAAAAAUUAAUUACCUUAGGGAUAACAGCAUAAUUUUUUUUGGAAGAUCUUAUUAAUAAAAAANAUUAUGACCUCNAUGUUGAAUU
Molecule: ribosomal RNA, 320 nt
Filed under: Rhadinobracon sp.
Lineage: Eukaryota; Metazoa; Arthropoda; Insecta; Hymenoptera; Braconidae
Description: partial 16S ribosomal RNA
Source: RNAcentral